This is a long non-coding RNA of Symphalangus syndactylus (siamang), 678 nucleotides long. RefSeq lists it as uncharacterized. The record is from RefSeq and is a predicted model, not a curated record. Lineage: Eukaryota; Metazoa; Chordata; Mammalia; Primates; Hylobatidae.
GACAUCUGGUCCCUGAUGCUGUUGCCUGUCCAUCAUUGAGUGGUGUUUGAUCUCCAUGGGUCAGCUGUGAUUUCCUUCCAUUCCUAACUAUGGGGAGUCCUUGUCCUCUCGCUCAGUCUCUGGACCAUGUCUACUCCCCUAUCUCAUUUGUGGCCAUCAUCUGGGGCUGGACGAGUAGAGGACAGGCAGGGCAUGAGAUUCCUUCUGUGGAUCGUACUGUUUUUGAAGUAUUGGAAACUCCAACCAAAGUCAGGAGAAUCUUUAUCAUGACUGGGAUGCUUUUAUUUAUUUUGUAUACCUCCAAAUAUUAUCUUAUGUGUCUGGGCCUAUGACACUGAAUCUCGAGACUCAAAGAUCUUUUUCUUUGUUAUGAUGACCUGUCUCUUCAGUCCUUCCAUGAGAAAAUUAAGACAGGCUGCUCAGCUGCCCAAGAUGCUGUCUUCUGACGGACCAGUUGGCACCACCCAGAUCAGUAAACUGGCUCACUGGGUCUUGUGGCUCCUGACCAGGAACCGAUUCAGUCCAGGAGGACAAGCUCUGACUCCCUAUGAUUUCAUCCCUAACUAAUCAGCUUUUCCCAUUUCCUAGCCCCCUGCCCACGAAACCAUCCUUGAAAAACCCUAGCCUCUGAAUUUUCAGGGAGGUUGAUUUAAGUAAUAAUAAACUACUGUCCUUCCA